This 253-nucleotide ribosomal RNA is filed under the name uncultured bacterium. RNAcentral's name for it is "partial 16S ribosomal RNA". It matches the Rfam family "Bacterial small subunit ribosomal RNA", at positions 524 to 776 of the family's 1533-position model. The record is from RNAcentral.
UACAGAGGUCUCAAGCGUUGUUCGGAUUCAUUGGGCGUAAAGGGUGCGUAGGCGGCGCGGUAAGUCGGGUGUGAAAUCUCGGGGCUUAACUCCGAAACUGCAUUCGAUACUGCCGUGCUUGAGGACUGGAGAGGAGACUGGAAUUCAUGGUGUAGCAGUGAAAUGCGUAGAGAUCAUGAGGAAGACCAGUGGCGAAGGCGGGUCUCUGGACAGUUCCUGACACUGAGGCACGAAGGCCAGGGGAGCAAACGGG